GCUGGGUGCAGUGAGCAUGCCUGUAAUCCUAGCAACUCAGAGGCUGAGGCAGGUGUAUUGCAAGUUCAAGGCCAGUCUCAGCAACAUGGCGGGACCCUGUCUCAA
Molecule: small RNA, 105 nt
Filed under: Marmota monax (woodchuck)
Lineage: Eukaryota; Metazoa; Chordata; Mammalia; Rodentia; Sciuridae
Source: RNAcentral